Molecule: RNase P RNA, 336 nt
Filed under: Catagonus wagneri (Chacoan peccary)
Lineage: Eukaryota; Metazoa; Chordata; Mammalia; Artiodactyla; Tayassuidae
Description: Nuclear RNase P (ENSCWAG00000012521.1)
Rfam family: Nuclear RNase P
About the family: Ribonuclease P (RNase P) is a ubiquitous endoribonuclease, found in archaea, bacteria and eukarya as well as chloroplasts and mitochondria. Its best characterised activity is the generation of mature 5'-ends of tRNAs by cleaving the 5'-leader elements of precursor-tRNAs.
Source: Rfam by way of RNAcentral
GGCGGAGAGAAGCUCAUCGAUGGGGCUACAUGCUGAGUGCACUUGGUCACUCCACUCCAUGUCCCUUGGGAAGGUCUGAGACUAGAGCCAGUAAGCGGCCCUAACAGGGCCCUCCAUGAACCUCGGGGAGGUGAGUUCCCAGAAAACGGGUCUCCGCGCGAGGGCGGACUGGGCAGGAGAUGCCAGGUGGACCCCGCCCUUGAGGAGGGGCCUGGCGGAUGCCUCCUGAGCCGGAGCUUGGAACAGACUCACGGCUAGCGAAGUGAGUUCAAUGGCUGAGGUGAGGUACCCUGUCUGGGGGCCUCAUAACCCAAUUCAGACUACUCUCCCUCCGUC